RNAcentral lists this transfer RNA (68 nucleotides) under human gut metagenome. It matches the Rfam family "tRNA". From Rfam's summary of the family: Transfer RNA (tRNA) molecules are approximately 80 nucleotides in length. The record is from RNAcentral. RNAcentral also lists the same sequence under 1 other name.
GGAUGUAGCCAAGUGGUAAGGCAACGGACUUUGACUCCGUCAUUCCGCUGGUUCGAGUCCAGCCAUCC